AAAAGUGUUGCAAAUCAUUGGUUGAGUUAAUAGGGUUUUAAACAGGAGCAGUUUGUACCAUCUGCCAUGUUUAGUUAUCAAGUUAUAACUUAACGUGUGUCAUAUGUCAUAAACUCCAAAGGACCCUGGUCGACCUUUACUUUGGAGACCAAACAUUCAG
Thalassophryne amazonica is the source of this 160-nucleotide long non-coding RNA. RefSeq lists it as uncharacterized. The transcript is spliced from 3 exons. The record is from RefSeq and is a predicted model, not a curated record. Lineage: Eukaryota; Metazoa; Chordata; Actinopteri; Batrachoidiformes; Batrachoididae.